RNAcentral lists this ribosomal RNA (253 nucleotides) under uncultured bacterium. RNAcentral's name for it is "partial 16S ribosomal RNA". It matches the Rfam family "Bacterial small subunit ribosomal RNA", at positions 524 to 776 of the family's 1533-position model. The record is from RNAcentral.
UACAGAGGGUGCGAGCGUUAAUCGGAAUUACUGGGCGUAAAGAGCUCGUAGGCGGUCUGUCGCGUCGGAUGUGAAAAUCCAGGGCUCAACCCUGGACCUGCAUUCGAUACGGGCAGACUAGAGUUCGGCAGGGGAGACUGGAAUUCCUGGUGUAGCGGUGAAAUGCGCAGAUAUCGGGAGGAACACCAGUAGCGAAGGCGGCACUCUGGGCCGGUACUGACGCUGAGGAGCGAAAGCGUGGGGAGCGAACAGG